UCCAGACUCCUACGGGAGGCAGCAGUGGGGAAUAUUGCACAAUGGGGGAAACCCUGAUGCAGCGACGCCGCGUGAGUGAAGAAGUAUUUCGGUAUGUAAAGCUCUAUCAGCAGGGAAGAAAAUGACGGUACCUGACUAAGAAGCCCCGGCUAACUACGUGCCAGCAGCCGCGGUAAUACGUAGGGGGCAAGCGUUAUCCGGAUUUACUGGGUGUAAAGGGAGCGUAGACGGUAGAGCAAGUCUGAUGUGAAACCCCGGGGCUCAACCCCGGGCAUGCAUUGGAAACUGGCGGGCUGGAGUGCCGGAGAGGUAAGCGGAAUUCCUAGUGUAGCGGUGAAAUGCGUAGAUAUUAGGAGGAACACCAGUGGCGAAGGCGGCUUACUGGACGGCAACUGACGCUGAGGCUCGAAAGCGUGGGGAGCAAACAGGAUUAGAUACCCGGGUA
RNAcentral lists this ribosomal RNA (445 nucleotides) under uncultured bacterium. Its description in RNAcentral is "partial 16S ribosomal RNA". It matches the Rfam family "Bacterial small subunit ribosomal RNA", at positions 330 to 792 of the family's 1533-position model. The record is from RNAcentral.